GGAGGCGUGGCCGAGCGGUUUAAGGCACCGGUCUUGAAAACCGGCGACGGUUUACCCCGUCCGUGAGUUCGAAUCUCACCACCUCCG
This 87-nucleotide transfer RNA is filed under the name Agitococcus lubricus. It matches the Rfam family "tRNA". From Rfam's summary of the family: Transfer RNA (tRNA) molecules are approximately 80 nucleotides in length. Their secondary structure includes four short double-helical elements and three loops (D, anti-codon, and T loops). The record is from Rfam by way of RNAcentral. Lineage: Bacteria; Pseudomonadati; Pseudomonadota; Gammaproteobacteria; Moraxellales; Moraxellaceae.